RNAcentral lists this ribosomal RNA (3077 nucleotides) under Proteus terrae. Its description in RNAcentral is "23S ribosomal RNA". It matches the Rfam family "Bacterial large subunit ribosomal RNA". The record is from RNAcentral. Lineage: Bacteria; Pseudomonadati; Pseudomonadota; Gammaproteobacteria; Enterobacterales; Morganellaceae.
GGUUAAGCGAAUAAGCGUACACGGUGGAUGCCUAGGCAAUCAGAGGCGAUGAAGGACGUGCUAAUCUGCGAUAAGCGUCGGUAAGGUGAUAUGAACCGUUAUACCCGACGAUUUCCGAAUGGGGAAACCCAAUAUCCAAUGGAUAUUAUCAUUAACUGAAUACAUAGGUUAAUGAAGCGAACCGGGAGAACUGAAACAUCUCAGUACCCCGAGGAAAAGAAAUCAACCGAGAUUCCCCUAGUAGCGGCGAGCGAACGGGGAACAGCCCAGAGUCUUAAUCAAUAGCAGCAUCAGGAGAACGGUCUGGAAAGUCCGGCAGUAAAGGGUGAUAGCCCCGUAUCCGAAGAUGCUGUUAUUGUGAACUCGACGAGUAGGGCGGGACACGUGUUAUCCUGUCUGAAUAUGGGGGGACCAUCCUCCAAGGCUAAAUACUCCUGAUUGACCGAUAGUGAACCAGUACCGUGAGGGAAAGGCGAAAAGAACCCCGGCGAGGGGAGUGAAAAAGAACCUGAAACCGUGUACGUACAAGCAGUAGGAGCCCCAUCACUCAAGUGCCUCGCACUGAGUGAUUGGACAAACCACUCGAAAACAGCGCAGCGUUUACCUACAAAGUGGAUUGAUUUUUUCAAGCCGUCGCGCAGUGUACAUAGAAGUACACGAGCAACGGAAGUUAAAAAAUCGAGCCAGUUUGACAGUAAAAGCAAGCGGGACAUUUGAGGAUGGGGUGACUGCGUACCUUUUGUAUAAUGGGUCAGCGACUUAUAUUCUGUAGCAAGGUUAACCGUAUAGGGGAGCCGUAGGGAAACCGAGUCUUAACUGGGCGAAUGAGUUGCAGGGUAUAGACCCGAAACCCGGUGAUCUAUCCAUGGGCAGGUUGAAGGUUGGGUAACACUAACUGGAGGACCGAACCGACUAAUGUUGAAAAAUUAGCGGAUGACUUGUGGAUGGGGGUGAAAGGCCAAUCAAACCGGGAGAUAGCUGGUUCUCCCCGAAAGCUAUUUAGGUAGCGCCUCGUGAACUCAUCUUCGGGGGUAGAGCACUGUUUCGACUAGGGGGUCAUCCCGACUUACCAACUCGAUGCAAACUGCGAAUACCGAAGAAUGUUAUCACGGGAGACACACGGCGGGUGCUAACGUCCGUCGUGAAGAGGGAAACAACCCAGACCGCCAGCUAAGGUCCCAAAGUCAUGGUUAAGUGGGAAACGAAGUGGGAAGGCUCAGACAGCCAGGAUGUUGGCUUAGAAGCAGCCAUCAUUUAAAGAAAGCGUAAUAGCUCACUGGUCGAGUCGGCCCGCGCGGAAGAUGUAACGGGGCUAAACCAUGCACCGAAGCUGCGGCAGCGACACUAAGUGUUGUUGGGUAGGGGAGCGUUCUGUAAGCCUGCGAAGGUGUACUGUGAGGUAUGCUGGAGGUAUCAGAAGUGCGAAUGCUGACAUAAGUAACGAUAAUGCGGGUGAAAAACCCGCACGCCGGAAGACCAAGGGUUCCUGUCCAACGUUAAUCGGGGCAGGGUGAGUCGACCCCUAAGGCGAGGCUGAAAAGCGUAGUCGAUGGGAAACGGGUUAAUAUUCCCGUACUGGUGGUAACUGCGAUGGGGGAACGGAGAAGGCUAGGUUGUCCGGGCGACGGUCGUCCCGGUUCAAGCAUGUAGGCAGAGUGAUUAGGCAAAUCCGGUCACUUAAUGCUGAGGUGUGAUGACGAGCCACUAAGGUGGUGAAGCAAUUGAUGCCCUGCUUCCAGGAAAAGCCUCUAAGCUUCAGGUUACCAACAAUCGUACCCCAAACCGACACAGGUGGUCAGGUAGAGAAUACUCAGGCGCUUGAGAGAACUCGGGUGAAGGAACUAGGCAAAAUGGUGCCGUAACUUCGGGAGAAGGCACGCUGGCGGUAAGUGAAGUCCCUUGCGGACGGAGCCGAAGCCAGUCGAAGAUACCAGCUGGCUGCAACUGUUUAUUAAAAACACAGCACUGUGCAAACACGAAAGUGGACGUAUACGGUGUGACGCCUGCCCGGUGCUGGAAGGUUAAUUGAUGGGGUUAUCCUUAGGGAGAAGCUCUUGAUCGAAGCCCCAGUAAACGGCGGCCGUAACUAUAACGGUCCUAAGGUAGCGAAAUUCCUUGUCGGGUAAGUUCCGACCUGCACGAAUGGCGUAAUGAUGGCCAGGCUGUCUCCACCCGAGACUCAGUGAAAUUGAACUCGCUGUGAAGAUGCAGUGUACCCGCGGCAAGACGGAAAGACCCCGUGAACCUUUACUAUAGCUUGACACUGAACAUUGAGCCUUGAUGUGUAGGAUAGGUGGGAGACUAUGAAGUGUGGACGCCAGUCUGCAUGGAGUCAACCUUGAAAUACCACCCUUUAACGUUUGAUGUUCUAACCUAGGCCCAUAAUCUGGGUCGGGGACCGUGUCUGGUGGGUAGUUUGACUGGGGCGGUCUCCUCCUAAAGAGUAACGGAGGAGCACGAAGGUUGGCUAAGCAUGGUCGGACAUCAUGCGGUUAGUGCAAAGGCAUAAGCCAGCUUGACUGUGAGAGUGACGGCUCGAGCAGGUACGAAAGUAGGUCUUAGUGAUCCGGUGGUUCUGAAUGGAAGGGCCAUCGCUCAACGGAUAAAAGGUACUCCGGGGAUAACAGGCUGAUACCGCCCAAGAGUUCAUAUCGACGGCGGUGUUUGGCACCUCGAUGUCGGCUCAUCACAUCCUGGGGCUGAAGUAGGUCCCAAGGGUAUGGCUGUUCGCCAUUUAAAGUGGUACGCGAGCUGGGUUUAGAACGUCGUGAGACAGUUCGGUCCCUAUCUGCCGUGGGCGUUGGAAGAUUGAGAGGGGUUGCUCCUAGUACGAGAGGACCGGAGUGAACGCACCACUGGUGUUCGGGUUGUCAUGCCAAUGGCAUUGCCCGGUAGCUAAGUGCGGAAGAGAUAACCGCUGAAAGCAUCUAAGCGGGAAACUUGCCUCGAGAUGAGUCUUCCCUGUCACCUAGAGUGACCUAAAGGAACGUUUAAGACUAAGACGUUGAUAGGCUGGGUGUGUAAGCGUAGCGAUACGUUGAGCUAACCAGUACUAAUGAACCGUGAGGCUUAACCUG